UGGGGAAUAUUGCACAAUGGGCGAAAGCCUGAUGCAGCGACGCCGCGUGAGGGAUGACGGCCUUCGGGUUGUAAACCUCUUUCAGUAGGGAAGAAGCGAAAGUGACGGUACCUGCAGAAGAAGCACCGGCUAACUACGUG
RNAcentral lists this ribosomal RNA (140 nucleotides) under Micrococcineae bacterium 1914_FYM(11b). RNAcentral describes it as "partial 16S ribosomal RNA". It matches the Rfam family "Bacterial small subunit ribosomal RNA", at positions 355 to 507 of the family's 1533-position model. The record is from RNAcentral. Lineage: Bacteria; Bacillati; Actinomycetota; Actinomycetes; Micrococcales.